This is a microRNA precursor of Oryza sativa Japonica Group (Japanese rice), 209 nucleotides long. It matches the Rfam family "MIR812 microRNA precursor family". Lineage: Eukaryota; Viridiplantae; Streptophyta; Magnoliopsida; Poales; Poaceae. The record is from Rfam.
AAUAAGUGCAGUUUUGCACUAUUCACGUUCAACGUUUGACCGUCCGUCUUAUUUGAAAAAUUUGUGAAAAAAUUAAAAACAUUUAGUCACACAUAAAGUACUAUUUAUGUUUUAUCAUCUAAUAGCAAUAAAAAUAAUAAUCAUAAAAAAUUUUCAAAUAAGACGGACGGUCAAACGUUGAACAUAAAUAGUGCAAAACUGCACUUAUU